CCUACGGGCGGCAGCAGUGGGGAAUAUUGGAUAAUGGGGGCAACCCUGAUCCAGCCAUGCCGCGUGUGUGAAGAAGGCCCUCGGGUUGUAAAGCACUUUCAGUGAGGAAGAACGCCUGGUGGUUAAUACCCAUCAGGAAAGACAUCACUCACAGAAGAAGCACCGGCUAACUCCGUGCCAGCAGCCGCGGUAAUACGGAGGGUGCGAGCGUUAAUCGGAAUUACUGGGCGUAAAGCGCGCGUAGGUGGCUUGAUAAGCCGGUUGUGAAAGCCCCGGGCUCAACCUGGGAACGGCAUCCGGAACUGUCAAGCUAGAGUGCAGGAGAGGAAGGUAGAAUUCCCGGUGUAGCGGUGAAAUGCGUAGAGAUCGGGAGGAAUACCAGUGGCGAAGGCGGCCUUCUGGACUGACACUGACACUGAGGUGCGAAAGCGUGGGUAGCAAACAGGAUUAGAUACCCUAGUAGUC
Molecule: ribosomal RNA, 465 nt
Filed under: Vreelandella stevensii
Lineage: Bacteria; Pseudomonadati; Pseudomonadota; Gammaproteobacteria; Oceanospirillales; Halomonadaceae
Description: partial 16S ribosomal RNA
Rfam family: Bacterial small subunit ribosomal RNA
Source: RNAcentral